UUCUGACGUCAUGCUGAUGCAGAUCUGCCCGGCUUGAUGCGAGCAGAGGAGAGGAAGAGAGUGAUGCCGUAAAAAUGAAACUCCUCAGCACUAAUUUGUCACAUCCCACCACAGGAGAAGAUGGAGUCGACCCCUACGUUACCCUACCCACAGGAGAGCUGAAAAAAUCAUAUUUGUAUCUGUAGCUGCGUGUCAGAGCUACAGAAACUGCGCUAAACGCGACACAUCACUUUUGUAGAAAAGCGACAAUAUUGAGGUCAGAGGAAAGCGUUGCCAGGGCGACCAGCUUGCUAGGGAGGACACUGCGGCGCGCGCCGGGAACGAGCGAGCGUGCGUGCAUGCCUGCGAGGUUGCGCACGUGCGCGCGUGUGCGAGAUCUCGCUGAGACGGUCACGGUAUCCACACAGCGGCAGCGGCAGCAGAGGCAGCAUCCUUCCUCAAGACUACCCGGACAACCGAGAAAGUCUGUGUCCGCCGUGAAAGAGACGAGCCAACAGAGGCUUGAACCAUUGGCUGUAGUGUUGGAGUUUGCCUUGAGAGGAUUUAUUGAGGAUUUAUCGACGAGGUUCAAGAAAAAUGCUCAAAAACUGAGUGGCUGCCACCGUCGGUGAACACAGAUGACACUUCCCGGCUGUCAAAAUCACCGAGACCCUGCAGACACGUCCGGGUUAUCGGGGGUCAUUUUUCCGUUUUUGAGGCGUCGUUAAAAAGACACUCUUCCUGAGGCAGACUCGACUGUCAGCUGAGACAUUUCUGAAUUUUUAUCACCGUCCUGGAGAAUACGGAGACUGAGCAGAGCCGAGCCUGUUUGGACAGGGAAUCGUGCUGUAUCCUGCUGUAUUCGGUGUGUGAUGCAGUAGUGCAGCGUUUAUUUUUGCUCUUCACUCCACUGUCAUUGUCUCCAGUCAUGAAGUCCCACCUGCCGGCCCGGCUGGAUUGAACGAGGCUCUGUUUACCGUGGGUCACUUUUUUUUUUUUAAAUUUCUGUUUUAUUCUUUUUUAGUAAGAGGGACUUUUUGCUUGCUUGCCAUUUACCGCCGCUGAAGGAAGCUUUAGUGUUGAAGACGAGGAAGAGGAGGACGAAAUCUGUCUGAAAAAAAUUGGUGGGAAUCUGGCAUUCAACCAGCACCCGUGGAUCACAAUUAACAGGUAGGAUCGGCUUCAAUAGAUAUUUCUUGCAUCUACUAGGGAUAUCAUACUCACCGGAAAAUCCAGGGUUUCAUUAUGUAAUGUGUUGCCACAGUAUUUCUAAAUCUGUCAGGGAUUCUUGAGAGUCGGGACAAAACACUUCCUAAAAAACUUUUUUUGAGAAUGCACACUAUAUUGAUUAGAGUUAUUUAUUACUGUAGAGAAAGGUCUUAGCUAUUUAACCCCGUAAAGGAACAGGCUCUAAAUAAAAACUUUUUUUCUAUAAAUUAACAUGUUUCCCUUAGACAGUGGAUUUGUGUCAACUCCAUCAGACACACAAAAAAGAAUAUAAUUUUAAUAAUUCUAGUCCAACAAGAAUCUAAAGUUCUGAUGUAUGUUGUAAUAGUGUUUAGUUACUCUGAUAUGCCAUGAAAUAUAAUAUAUAAACCUAAUGUGUGAUUUCACACUAUUUUGAAAACCAAGAUUUCUAAAUAGUUGCAUUUUCAAACUUUGUUUUUAAUUUUUAUAUUAUAAAAACAAUUUCUGUAAGUAAAUAAGACACAAGAGGAUGUAGAGCCAAUGCUCCUUUAUUACUUAAACAAUAUAAACUGAAGAAACAAAUUUUUUUUUCUCCAAAAUUGAAGAAAAACAUACAUCUGACGGUGUUGACGAACACCUGACGGAGUUGACGAGAAACUGACAGAGUUGAUGACAUCGCAUAUGUUAUUGAACAAAUGUGUUUUUAAACCGAUUGACAAUAGGUCAAUAGGUGAAAAUAGAUUAAGAACUAAUAACUCCUUGUUUUCAUACUGAACAUACCAUUAAUGCAAUUAACCACCGCGCCGACAAGGCGUUUCCAAGCACAUUUUCGUAUUUUGGUGAGUUGUGCAGCCCGGCAUAAGUAUCCCCCCUCCCCUAACUCAGCUCCCUCCAGCAGCGUAGGUCAUAGGGAGGGAGGAGAGAGGGCGUUGAGUGGGUUUAACACAGCCAAGACCUGUAUUGACCAAUAACAUCAGCUCUUCUCGCCUUUGAAUCCGCCACUAGCGAGGCGUAUUACCAUUUUCGUGAAGUAGUCAAAGAGAUCAAGAGAUGUCUGAAGACAGCAAUGCCACACGAUGGCGACAGAAGGCAGCUCCUCAACAGAUGUCACUGUAAGCGCUGCAUUGGGCGUCCUCCGCACUGUCUCAUAUAAGCACAGAUGGAUUUGGUGUGUGUAAUGUUGGACCCACUGGUAAGACAAACACCCUUUUCCACAAAUAAAGACAAUCACAUUAAAUUGCAUAUAUUUAAACCUGACGUGACAAAGGUGGGUUGUGCGCAAAGGUCACAACAUAAAUUCCAAUAAUGGCAUUACAAUCGGAACCAAUCUGUGUGUAAAUCGCGCUCCGUGGCCUGGCUCUUUCUUUCAUAGAUGUUGGCAUAUAAAAUAAAUUUGGCUCACAAAACUGAUUAUUAUAAUAUUUGUAUGUAGGCUUAAAGUAAAAAACUCAUCUGAUCACUGGAACAAAUCAUCUGUUCAGCUGCCGCAGCAGCAGCAGGACGGGUAGAGGACACGGAGACAUGUCCAGGUUGAGCUGCGCGAGAAAUAAGAGGACGAGGAAGCUAGAAAUGGGGGCAGACAAAUUAAAUAUCUUGUUAACUUCAUCAUGUGUGUUUAUUUACAAGAUAUUUGAUUCAAUUUCAUGCGGAUUCAGCAGCUGUGUUAAUUUGGUCAGGUUGAGUGUCCAAACGCAUGCCAAAUGCGCUCAUCAGAUCAGAUAUAGAUCAGAAUAUAUCGAUAUAGAUCUAAAUGUAUGUGCUGACACAGAUUAUUAGUUGUUAUUGAUUAUUAAUUGCACGGAAAUGUUCCUUACACUGUGGAAACCUGCUGGUGAGGUCGAUAUGCCGCCGGUCUCCCAAAAUACCACUAGCCCAUCCGGAUCCACCUGCGCUGAAAGCUGACCAGGUUUGAAUCUGCGAGCUUUCAGCGCACUUUACACACCGGCAACAAGUACGAAAAUGUCACUGCACCAGCUGAUUCUGUGGACACCUCACCCUGCCACACAUCCACGCCCAGCUUGGCGGACCUCGGUGCCCCUCAGUCCACGAAAAUACCAAACUGGCUGUACGCUGAGCUCCGCCAGACGAAAAUGCCACUGCGCGGGGUUCGCCACCCUCCGCCAUGUCGCCGGUGGACACAAAAAUAGAGCCCAAGGUCUGAGGGUCCAAGUUAACAAUGUAAAAAUAAUAACCUUUUUCUUCUAUCUGGUAUCCCACCUACACUGGGGUUUAAAAGAGCAACAUAGAACUUCUUGCGCACUCUAUAAGAAGCCAGUGUGUAGAUUUUAGGUAGUGAAAAUUACAUACUGCACCUUUAGGAUUGUACAUUAAUCAAUCAAUCAAUGAGAUUAGGUGUGUGUGUGUGUGUGUGUGUGUGUGUGUGUGUGUGUGUGUGUGUGUGUGUGUGUGUGUGUUGGGAAAGUUUGACAGUUAUAAUUAAGCAGACAGCCUGCCCAUGGUCUACUCUACAAAACAGAGGUAUAUGGUAAAAUAACGUAAUAUAUGCUAUAUAUGUACUUUUAUGUGCAGAUAAGACCCUGGAAUAACAUUGUUAUCCUUAACCAUGUUCAAAAAUAGCAUAAUGUCAGCACAUUAAGAGGUUAUAGGUGGAUUUGUCAACUCCAUCAGCUUACAUGUCAACUCCGUCAGACACAAAAUCUGACGGAGUUGACGUCUGACGGAGUUGACGUAAGGGCAUGUAUUUUCCCUCCAAAACAUUUAUUGUACAGUGCAGCUAGCUACUUUUUUGGCAGUUGCUAGCUGUCCUGAUAAUCUCACUAAAAUACUUUAAUUGAACUCACUAUGGUUUAAAAAAAAGUAUAAUAAUGGAGAGACGGUGUUGACAUGGUCCAGCUGUGACCAUACAAAUAUUGACAUUGUUUGUCUAAAAUAUCAAAAACUGUAAAACCUACCAGACCAUGUGUGGUGGUGUUGCAUUCACCAGAAGCAGGAAAUGAAAAGGGGUGCUCAGGGAUAUAGCUGACCAUGAUAUUGCAUGAUUUAAUGAGGUUUAUAGAAUAAUCUGAUGGAGUUGACAGAAAGUGAGGACACAACUUUGAUAGGCAGAUUUUUAGGCAAAAAGCUAUUUGAUGUUCAGGCCAUUCAUUGUUUAUAUAUUUAUAGCCCUGAAUUUUUAUUUGAUGUAUAUGUUUUCACAAUUAUAGAGUUUUUUAAAGUUUUUUGGGGCUGGUCAAUAUUGUGACCUCUUGCUGAGGACACAAGCAAUAACAUGGACCUUCUAACCACAGACGUUUCAUUUAAACAAAUAUCCCCCAAAAAAGUAAAUAUCUGUGCUAAAAAAUAGGAUUGGUAUACACAAAUCCAUUAGAUUUAACUUUUUGAGUAUGUCAAACAUUUAGAAUUUCUUAAUUGUUUUGAAUAAAUUAGACUUUUCUAUGUAGGACAUGUUUUGUCCCGACUCUCAAGAAUGGGUG
This 4601-nucleotide long non-coding RNA is filed under the name Xyrichtys novacula (pearly razorfish). The record is from RNAcentral. Lineage: Eukaryota; Metazoa; Chordata; Actinopteri; Labriformes; Labridae.